CUUCCGUGGCACUCUUUGCUUCCACAGGAGCGAUGAAUUCUGGUUCGUCUCGCUCGGCUAAUUCCUCCGCCCAGAGAUCCAAGCGAAUUCUCGACAAUUCUUCUCCGUCGAGCCCUUCCAGUAGCGGUGCCAACAAGAAGAAACGGAUCGACCAGAAAACCCUAGGCGUCGCAUGGGGAGCCAAUUCCAGUUCAUCCUCUCGCUCCUCUCGCAAAUCGCCCUUUCCAGAUUUCGGAAGCUAUAUGGUAGAAAAGAACAGAAAACUGCACAAUCAGUUUAACGUUGACGCUUCAAGUGCUUCACAUAGUGGUACGAACUCCGGAAAUCAAAUAUUUCAGGGCGUUUCUAUAUUUGUUGACGGUUUCACGAUUCCUUCAAGUCAGGAAUUGCGGGGUUAUAUGUUGAAGUAUGGUGGCAGAUUUGAGAAUUAUUUUUCAAGACGUAGUGUUUCUCAUAUAAUUUGCAGCAAUUUACCGGACAGUAAAGUAAAGAAUCUCAGGUCCUUCAGCCGUGGACUUCCAGUUGUAAAACCCACAUGGAUCUUGGAUUCUGUUGCUUCUAAUGAGCUAUUAAGUUGGGUUCCUUACCAACUUGAUCAGCUUGUAAGUAAUCAACCAAGAUUAUCAGCAUUCUUUUCUAUGAAAAAAGGUCCGAUGUUGGAGAAACGCAAAAUGUGCAUGACUACUGAAAAGAACUAUGGAACAGAGGAUUCAAUGUCCCUGGUGGCUGUGAAUUUAAAGGAUUCACGGUCUGAAGUGAAUGAAUUGAUUGAAUCUAGAGCAGAGAUGCAUUCCGACUCUGAAAUGAAUCUUCAAGAUAAUGCAGAUACUGAACUGAAUGAGAAGCCAAGUGAUGAUUUAGAGGCUGGCGAAUUAAAGGAUACAAGUAUAUCUGAUGUAGAUGAAUCUGUUGAAUAUGUACCACAAACCUGUGAAAGUUUUGAGAUGCUUCCUCGAAAUAAUGCUGAUGUAGAAGUAAAGAAAGAGCCAAGCAACGAAAAAUGUGAUCAUGCAGAUGAAGAACCAGGAAUUGUUGAUGUGGGUCAGAGCAGUGAAGAAAAUAUAUCUAGUUUGCAUGGUUUGUCUAAGUCAACUCACAAUGAUAGCACCAAUAAUUAUUAUAGCGAUGGAUCGUCAAGUUCUUUGGUGGCCGGGUCUUCUAAGCUGCGGCAUUCAAAUUUUUGGAAGGCAGAUUUUGUGGAAAGUUAUUUCAAGAAGUCUAGGCUGCAUUUCAUUGGAACUUGGAGAAAUCGUUACUAUAAGCGUUUUCCACGUUCAGCUAGUGGGUCCAAUUCUGUAACUUCUCAUAUCAGUGGUUCUUCCCAUUAUCAGUCUACCACUAUUAUCCACGUUGACAUGGACUGCUUUUUUGUCUCAGUGGUUAUUCGAAACAGUCCACAAUUUAAGGAUAAACCUGUAGCUGUGUGCCACUCGGAUAAUCCUAAAGGAACUGCAGAAAUAUCAUCUGCAAACUACCCAGCUCGAGGUUAUGGAGUCAGAGCGGGAAUGUUUGUUAGAGAUGCGAAAGCUCUUUGUCCCCAACUUGUUAUUUUUCCAUAUGACUUCAAGUCCUAUGAGGAGGUAGCCGAUCAGUUCUAUGACAUAUUGCAUAAGCACUGUGAGAAAGUGCAGGCCUUAAGUUGUGAUGAAGCAUUUUUGGAUAUCUCAGGCACAGACAAGGUAGAUCCUGAGGUUUUGGCUUCAAAAAUUAGAAAAGAAAUUUUUGAUACAACUGGAUGUACUGCAAGUGCUGGAAUAUCUACAAAUAUGCUAAUGGCUCGCCUUGCUACCAGAACUGCAAAACCUGAUGGCCAGUGUUACAUUCCUUCGGAGAAGGUUGAUGAUUAUUUAGAUCCGCUUCCCAUUAAGGAUCUUCCCGGGAUAGGGUGUGCCUUGGAGGAGAAGUUGAAGAAAAGAAGUGUAUUUACUUGUGGUCAGCUGCGUAUGAUAUCCAAGGAUUCUCUUCAGAAAGACUUUGGAUUGAAAACAGGGGAGAUGCUAUGGAAUUAUAGUCGGGGGGUGGACAAUCGUGCAGUUGGGUUGAUCCAGGAAAGCAAAUCCAUAGGAGCUGAAGUGAAUUGGGGUGUUAGGUUCAAGGACUUCAAAGAUUGUCAAUGCUUUCUCUCGAACCUUUGUAAGGAGGUUUCAUUACGAUUGCAUGGAUGUGGAGUGCAGGGACGCACCUUUACCCUCAAGAUAAAAAAACGAAGGAAAGAUGCCGAUGAACCGACAAAGUAUAUGGGCUGUGGAGAUUGUGAAAACCUGAGCCACUCGUUGACGGUUCCUGAUGCCACUGAUGACCUGGAAAUUCUUCAGAGGAUUGCAAAGCAGCUUUUUGGGUUUUUUGUCAUAGAUGUCAAAGAAAUUCGUGGUAUUGGUUUACAAGUUUCGAAGCUUCAAAAUGUGGAUAUCUCUAAGCAAGGGAUGAAAAGAAACUCUUUGGACGCAUGGCUUCAUUCGUCUGGAACGACAAAUGUGGAAAAUAGUACUGGUCCUUUGGUAAAGGAAAGGGCUAAUAUAGAUAGUGAGAAACAGUGUGACUCUGGAGCUUUAGAUCAGUUAUCUGCUGAUCCUACAAGCCACCUAAUUCAAUUGGAGAAUAAUCAGCUCCACUGCGAAUCUUUGAACCCGGUUUCAGCUCCACCUCUGUGCAAUCUGGAUAUUGGAGUUAUAGGGAGCCUACCUCCUGAGCUCUUUUCAGAGUUAAAUGAAAUCUAUGGUGGAAAACUAGAUGAUCUCCUAGCUAAAAGCAGAUACAAAAGUGAAGCUUUCUCGUCUUCUUUAAGGGUUUCGUCUCAAGGACCAGGAGAAGGUGAUAGACUUACUUCAUCAGAUGCCCAAGAAAACAAAACACAGUUGGAAAAUAAGCACAUUGUUGAACGUUCCCCACCUGCACAGAUUUCUGGGGAAGGAUUGUGCAAUGUGGUGACUCCUAUACCCACCUCUGGAUCUCAUAGAAUUGAUUUACUACCUUCAUCUCUAAGUCAAGUAGAUCCGUCAGUAUUACAAGAGCUACCUGAACCUCUGAGGGAUGACAUACUUAAGCAACUCCCAGCACACAGGGGAAAAGAGCUUUCUUUAGAACAUUCAGUAAAAAUUCAUCACGAAUCUUGUGAUGCCACUGCCAGUACGUCUGGCUCAAUAGACUCUUUCACGGAGAAUGGUCUUUGGUCUGGGAACCCUCCUCUAUGGGUUGAUAAGUUUAAAGCCAGUAAUUGCUUGAUAUUACAAUUUCUUGCAGAGACGUAUACAGAGUCGGGGUCACCCGAAAAUCUUUAUGGGAUUUUGCUAAGGACUUUAUCUAAAUUUUGGCAUCCUCCAGUUCCGGAAUCUGAUGGUUGGGAUGGUGCUAUUUAUGGUUUAUGUGAACUUCUUAAGCAGUACUUUAAGUUAAAGAUAGAGCUGGACAUCGAGGAGACCUAUGCUUGUUUUCGUCUUCUUAAGAGGUUAGCGAUGAAAUCCCAGGUUUUUCUGGAAGUCUUCAACAUUAUCGAUCCUUACAUUCAGGGAGCAGUCAAUGAAUUCUACGGCGGAAGUUUGAAGGUGUAGACCCUUCACUCAUACUACGUUUUGACCAGAUAGCGUUGCGAUGGAAAUGUAUGUGCAGGGUAAGAUGCCUUCAAUAAUUCAGUGACGCAUAUUACAACUUGAUCAUCAUUUGACAAUCUUUAAACAAUGUGAUAAAGAAGUUAAGCUGUGGAGAACGAAGUAUCUGCUUCUUCAGAAAUUUCCUUUGGCAUGGUAGUAAAGACAGGCCCAGGCGGUUCCCAUCUCACUAAAUGAAAAGAAGGUACAAUCUCAAGCCCUUCUAGCAAAGUGGAUAUGGCGCUUCCAAGCUGAAAAAGUGGCACUUUGAGAAGAACUAGUGCGGCCGAAUAUGGUACCUUCCACUUAAACUUUUUCAUUGGUGGGUUUCAGAAUUUGUAAGUAGAAAUGAACAUUAAUUGAGAUAGAAAGAAAGUCCGACCAUAAUAUUGCCCGAUACCCCUGGAUUUGAGGUUUGAAGGUCCAGAAAUUUGGGAAAUAUAAAUGUUGGGUGGUCAGUCUAAUGGCGCGCGGUAAACAAAAUCACCCCGAGUGUCCGGCCCAUAAAGUAUUAUGACUUUCCUGGAUGAGCUUCUUCCUCAAUUCUCUCGUUCUCUAGACAUACAAUCUGUUUUCUUUUGUUAGUAGAAAUCUCUUCUUUGCGUUCA
Molecule: non-coding RNA, 4192 nt
Organism: Cucurbita pepo subsp. pepo (vegetable marrow)
Lineage: Eukaryota; Viridiplantae; Streptophyta; Magnoliopsida; Cucurbitales; Cucurbitaceae
Source: RefSeq, a predicted model, not a curated record